ACUCCUACGGGAGGCAGCAGUGGGGAAUAUUGCACAAUGGGCGCAAGCCUGAUGCAGCCAUGCCGCGUGUGUGAAGAAGGCCUUCGGGUUGUAAAGCACUUUCAGUCGGUGAGGAAGGUAGUGUAGUUAAUAGCUGCAUUUAUUGAUCGUUAGCGAACAGAAGAAGCACCGGCUAACUCCGUGCCAGCAGCCGCGGUAAUACGGAGGGUGCGAGCGUUAAUCGGAAUUACUGGGCGUAAAGCGCAUGCAGGUGGUUUGUUAAGUCAGAUGUGAAAGCCC
Molecule: ribosomal RNA, 279 nt
Filed under: uncultured bacterium
Lineage: Bacteria
Description: partial 16S ribosomal RNA
Rfam family: Bacterial small subunit ribosomal RNA
Source: RNAcentral